AUGCAAGACGCCGCUAUUGAAGAUGACAUGUACUUGCUGUCCCAGUUACCAUCUUCGAAUAUAAUGACUUUCAAAGCGUACAAGAUAAAUGAGAAUACAUUUUACACGACCACCCAAGAUAAGAAGAACACCAACCAAAACAGUGGUGUCCGCUUUGAUGCAGCAACCAAGACAGUAAAGAAAACAUAUUAUGGUUACAUAGAGAACAUAUGGGAACUUGACUAUGGACAUGGUUUGAAGGUCCCUUUGUUUCGGUGCAAAUGGGUGAAUAUGACACGAGGCGGGGUAAUGGAAGACCCGCAGUACGGAAUGACAACAGUGGAUCUCAACAAUCUUGCGUAUGCAGAUGAACCAUUCAUCCUAGCCAAUGAUGUGGCACAUAUUUUCUAUGUGAAGGACAUGUCCACCAAGCCGAGAAAAAGAAAAGAUAAGGUAGCGAAUGCAUCAUACGAUGAUCCAAAGCGCCACAUAGUUUUUUCUGGGAAA
Molecule: ribosomal RNA, 486 nt
Filed under: Triticum aestivum (bread wheat)
Lineage: Eukaryota; Viridiplantae; Streptophyta; Magnoliopsida; Poales; Poaceae
Description: partial small subunit ribosomal RNA
Source: RNAcentral